AGAGUUGAUCCUGGCUUAGGAUGAACGCUAGCUACAGGCUUAACACAUGCAAGUCGAGGGGCAGCAGGACGAUAGCUUGCUAUUGUCGCUGGCGACCGGCGCACGGGUGAGUAACGCGUAUCCAACCUCCCCUUAGUAGAGGAUAGCCCGGCGAAAGUCGGAUUAAUACUCUAUGUUGUAUUUUGAGGACAUCUGACGAAUACCAAAGAUUCAUCGCUAAGGGAUGGGGAUGCGUCUGAUUAGCUUGUUGGCGGGUAACGGCCCACCAAGGCGACGAUCAGUAGGGGUUCUGAGAGGAAGGUCCCCCACAUUGGUACUGAGACACGGACCAAACUCCUACGGGAGGCAGCAGUGAGGAAUAUUGGUCAAUGGGCGAGAGCCUGAACCAGCCAAGUAGCGUGACCAGGAAGACUCGCCCUAGUGGGUUAGUAAACUGUCUUUUAUCGAGGGAAUAAAGUUCGGCACGUGUGCUGUUUUGUAUGUACCUGAUGAAUAAGGACCGGCUAAUUCCGUGCCAGCCGCCGC
This 525-nucleotide ribosomal RNA is filed under the name uncultured bacterium. Its description in RNAcentral is "bacterial SSU rRNA". It matches the Rfam family "Bacterial small subunit ribosomal RNA", at positions 8 to 518 of the family's 1533-position model. The record is from RNAcentral.